This 433-nucleotide ribosomal RNA is filed under the name uncultured bacterium. Its description in RNAcentral is "partial 16S ribosomal RNA". It matches the Rfam family "Bacterial small subunit ribosomal RNA", at positions 29 to 507 of the family's 1533-position model. The record is from RNAcentral.
AACGAACGCUGGCGGCAUGCCUAACACAUGCAAGUCGAACGAGACCUUCGGGUCUAGUGGCGCACGGGUGCGUAACGCGUGGGAACCUGCCCUUAGGUUCGGAAUAACUCCCCGAAAGGGGUGCUAAUACCGGAUAAUGUCUUCGGACCAAAGAUUUAUCGCCUUGGGAUGGGCCCGCGUUGGAUUAGCUAGUUGGUAGGGUAAAAGCCUACCAAGGCGACGAUCCAUAGCUGGUCUGAGAGGAUGAUCAGCCACACUGGGACUGAGACACGGCCCAGACUCCUACGGGAAGCAGCAGUGGGGAAUAUUGGACAAUGGGCGAAAGCAUGAUCCAGCAAUGCCGCGUGAGUGAUGAAGGCCUGAGGGUUGUAAAGCUCUUUUACCCGGGAGGAUAAUGACAGUACCGGGAGAAUAAGCUCCGGCUAACUCCGUG